This 390-nucleotide ribosomal RNA is filed under the name Choanoflagellata sp. RNAcentral's name for it is "SSU rRNA". It matches the Rfam family "Eukaryotic small subunit ribosomal RNA", at positions 829 to 1220 of the family's 1831-position model. Lineage: Eukaryota; Choanoflagellata. The record is from RNAcentral.
CUUUGGUUCUAUUUUGUUGGUUCUAGGACCGAAGUAAUGAUUAAUAGGGAUGGUUGGGGGCAUUAGUAUUUAAUUGUCAGAGGUGAAAUUCUUAGAUUUAUGAAAGACUAACUACUGCGAAAGCAUUUGCCAAGGAUGUUUUCAUUGAUCAAGAACGAAAGUUAGGGGAUCGAAGACGAUCAGAUACCGUCGUAGUCUUAACCAUAAACUAUGCCGACUAGGGAUUAGCGGGUGUUUGUAAUGACCCCGUUGGCACCUUACGAGAAAUCAAAGUUUUUGGGUUCUGGGGGGAGUAUGGUCGCAAGGCUGAAACUUAAAGGAAUUGACGGAAGGGCACCACCAGGAGUGGAGCCUGCGGCUUAAUUUGACUCAACACGGGGAAACUCACCA